Molecule: non-coding RNA, 855 nt
Organism: Peromyscus maniculatus bairdii (prairie deer mouse)
Lineage: Eukaryota; Metazoa; Chordata; Mammalia; Rodentia; Cricetidae
Source: RefSeq, a predicted model, not a curated record
CUAACUAGAUCCAAUAUUCCUCUACCCAGAGCAACCAUCAAGAAGUCAAAUGGCCUAUUUUGUUACUUGGGAGUUCAGCCAGAGACACCAGUUCUUUUUCUGACACACCUUAGGACCCUGGGGACACCCUGAGUUCCACUUGGCUGGUAGACACCAUCCACGAAUCAGCUGUGGACUACAAACUGCUCCAAAGGUGACCUACACCACACCAGCCCCAGGUUUUGGCUUUAUGUCUCUGCUCUGGGAUUCUCCUUUCUUGAAGGAACUGCCCAUUUGAAAACUCUGCACCUCGUCCUUUCUACACCUGUGCCUGUUCCCUUGCUUUUCUGUCCCCUGCAAGCCCCUUUUGUAUGUCCACCUACAGAAUCCUGCAAAUACCUCAAAUAAUGUUCCCCUGCAAUCCAUUCCUUAACUAUUUCUAAUCUUCAUUCAGUUGCGGUUAUAAGAAAUCCUAAGUGUAGUGGUUUAAAAAUUUUUAUCAGCAUAUGAUUAUGGAAGAAAAAAUUCAAAAUGAGAGAAAAAUCAUUGCCAGCUGUACAUGUGACAGAAGAGUAAUGUCUAGAACACACAAAGAACUGAAAAACUAAAUAACAAGUAAUAAAAUACCCAACCAAUAAAUGGACUAAUGAUAUGAGCACAUAGUUUUCAAAAGAUACAGUACAGUCAAUAAGAAUAAAAAAAACCAUACACAUCCUUAGCCAUCACAGAAAGGCAGAUUAAAAACUACAUUGAGCUGGGCAUGGUAGCCAGCACCUUUAAUUUUAGCACUCAGGAGGCAGAGGCAGUUGGGUCUCUGAGUUUGAGGCCAGCUUGAUCUACAGAGUGAGUUCCAGGACAGCUGGAAAGGAGGAUGAA